CCCCCCCCAUUUUUCUUCCUUUUGUACCACGCAGCCUGGAUGCAGCCUAAGCUGGAGCCAUGUGGCCCUUCAGGGACAUGUGGCCCACCACAACCUUGACCUCUAUCAGAAUGGAACUGCCUGUUUUCCCAGAGUGCUUCUGGUCACAGGCAACACCUACUUGUAGGACAAGAAACCUAUGUGUCCCUCCAGCUCUUUAGCCCUUCUCACUGAAGCACCAGCCUUUCCAGCAUCCUCUCUGCUGGGCACCUUCCACAUUGCGAAGGUUCAGGUGAAAGACACCUUCCUGGAGCAUCCCCCCUGGUCCCCAAGCCAGCUCUCCUGUUGAAUUCCUCCAGUCCUUUCCCCAUACCUCCCCAUCGGCAGACGCUCUGUCUUGUUCUGCUGGAAAUUUGGGAACAUCCUUUAUCUCCCUACUCCAUGAAAAGCUUCCAGGGGGGCCAGGAUCCAUGUCUGGCCAGCCUUUGUGUUCUCUACCAUGGUUUGCACACAGUAGGUGCUCUGUCGAUAUUGGUUGAAUAAAUGAGUAAAUCAAAGAA
This is a non-coding RNA of Miniopterus natalensis, 539 nucleotides long. Lineage: Eukaryota; Metazoa; Chordata; Mammalia; Chiroptera; Miniopteridae. The record is from RefSeq and is a predicted model, not a curated record.